UACGGGGGGGGCAAGCGUUGUUCGGAAUUACUGGGCGUAAAGGGCUCGUAGGCGGCCAACUAAGUCAGACGUGAAAUCCCUCGGCUUAACCGGGGAACUGCAUCUGAUACUGGAUGGCUUGAGUUCGGGAGAGGGAUGCGGAAUUCCAGGUGUAGCGGUGAAAUGCGUAGAUAUCUGGAGGAACACCGGUGGCGAAGGCGGCAUCCUGGACCAAUAUUGACGCUGAGGAGCGAAAGCUAGGGGAGCAAACGGG
Molecule: ribosomal RNA, 253 nt
Filed under: uncultured bacterium
Lineage: Bacteria
Description: partial 16S ribosomal RNA
Rfam family: Bacterial small subunit ribosomal RNA
Source: RNAcentral